Vicugna pacos (alpaca) is the source of this 757-nucleotide long non-coding RNA. RefSeq lists it as uncharacterized. The record is from RefSeq and is a predicted model, not a curated record. NCBI's taxonomy places the organism in Eukaryota, Metazoa, Chordata, Mammalia, Artiodactyla, Camelidae.
UCUGAUGGUAUUUCGGGGGAGUUCAACAACCUGGACAUCCUACUGAGAUCCUGUGGACACUUCCCUUACUGCUGAAGCCUAAGACUAUCAGUUCAGAAACCGGGGACGCCAGGGAGGCCUUCAGUGAUGGGGGUACGACGUCUGAGGAAAAGUACAAGAUGAAGAAUAGUCUCUCUGGAACAUGAGGAACAGGAUGGAAAAGGCCACAGACACGCUAAGAAUUUGUCAGAGUGAGUACCUGCAGACAAGGUCAAUAUUCCCUUGGAAAAUAGUUUGGGAUUAUUCUGGCAUCCAAACUGGUGAAACACAAAACUUUGUGAUAAUAUGGAGACAAAUCAUGAAACUGUUUUGCAUGACGGAGUCUCGACUGUUACCCCCAUCACUCACCAGUUGAACCAUUCAUCCUUCAGGAAUAUAUUGAUUGAAUUCAUGACCUUCGAAGAGCUUAAAGACUUAUCAGAGCCUUAAAAUGAGUGCAGCAAAUUUCCAAAAACAAAAAAGAGAGAGAGAAGAGAUAAUAACAUGCAGCGCUUCGUCAGCUAGGAAGUCAUCCUGGUUCUCUUCACUUCACAACCCUGACCUGCGUCAGAAAAAUGCUUUUCUUCCUAUUACUGAUUUGAUAGUCUGACGAAAGUAUAUUUUGCUGGAAAGUGCCUCUGUUUGGACCAAAGAAGAUUUUUCUAUUCAUAUAACGUAGCAAGUUCAGUAAUUUCACUAAGUAUCAGAAAUGACAGCGUGAUCACCGGGAACAAAGCAU